RNAcentral lists this ribosomal RNA (301 nucleotides) under uncultured bacterium. RNAcentral describes it as "partial 16S ribosomal RNA". It matches the Rfam family "Bacterial small subunit ribosomal RNA", at positions 509 to 807 of the family's 1533-position model. The record is from RNAcentral.
CAGUAGCCGCGGUAAUACAGAGGGUGCGAGCGUUAAUCGGAUUUACUGGGCGUAAAGCGUGCGUAGGCGGCUUCUUAAGUCGGAUGUGAAAUCCCUGAGCUUAACUUAGGAAUUGCAUUCGAUACUGGGAAGCUAGAGUAUGGGAGAGGAUGGUAGAAUUCCAGGUGUAGCGGUGAAAUGCGUAGAGAUCUGGAGGAAUACCGAUGGCGAAGGCAGCCAUCUGGCCUAAUACUGACGCUGAGGCACGAAAGCGUGGGGAGCAAACAGGAUUAGAUACCCCCGUAGUCCCUGUCUCUUAUAC